CGGAGGGUGCAAGCGUUAUCCGGAUUCACUGGGUUUAAAGGGUGCGUAGGAGGGCAGGUAAGUCAGUGGUGAAAUCUCCAAGCUUAACUUGGAAACUGCCGUUGAUACUAUCUGUCUUGAAUACCGUGGAGGUGAGCGGAAUAUGUCAUGUAGCGGUGAAAUGCUUAGAUAUGACAUAGAACACCAAUUGCGAAGGCAGCUCGCUACACGAAUAUUGACUCUGAGGCACGAAAGCGUGGGGAUCAAACAGGAUUAGAUACCCUGGUAGUCCACGCCCUAAACGAUGGAUACUCGACAUACGCGAUACACAGUGUGUGUCUGAGCGAAAGCAUUAAGUAUCCCACCUGGGAAGUACGACCGCAAGGUUG
RNAcentral lists this ribosomal RNA (368 nucleotides) under uncultured organism. Its description in RNAcentral is "bacterial SSU rRNA". It matches the Rfam family "Bacterial small subunit ribosomal RNA", at positions 526 to 896 of the family's 1533-position model. The record is from RNAcentral.